Molecule: non-coding RNA, 76 nt
Organism: Ovis aries (sheep)
Lineage: Eukaryota; Metazoa; Chordata; Mammalia; Artiodactyla; Bovidae
Source: Rfam
UCCCUGGUGGUCCAGUGGUUAAGACUCUUUGCUUCCAAUGCAGGAGGGGAUACAGGUUUGAUCCCUGAUUGGGGAA